CCCGGGCGCACGGUGACACAUCAACCGGCUAGGGUUCUGCCGGGGUCCGACCCAGCCUCGCAGUCGCAGGUAGGGCUGCAGGCUCCCCCUCGCUGCCGCGGCGCCUAUCCCCCGCCGCCGCCGUCGUCGUCGCCGCCAGCUGCAGCUCUCCGCCCGCGACGUCUAUCCCGGUCCGUCUCCGCCCCGCGCGCUCGCCGGUCGGUCCGCACCCUGCGCCAAACUACUUGUCGACCUCUCAGGUUCUUUAGAAGAAAAGAGGAAAAUCAUACAUGGAUAUCAUGCAGACAAGUGAUUCUUCCCAAUAUGGAGUUGUAGAAAACAGCCCAUAUAGAUUUCCCUAUAAUAAACGUGUGGAAGAUGGCAACCUUGGUGCUUCGUGGUAUUUUAGUAGAAAAGAAAUAGAGGAGAAUUCCCUUUCAAGAAGAGAUGGCAUUAGUCUGAAGAAGGAGUCUUUCCUUCGCAAGUCAUACUGCACUUUUCUUCAAGAUCUGGGAGUGAGGCUUAAAGUGCCUCCAGUGACAAUUGCUACAGCUAUUGUAUUCUGUCAUCGUUUUUUCCUUCGACAAUCUCAUGCCAAAAAUGAUAGACUGACAGCAGCCACAGUUUGCAUGUUCUUGGCGGGUAAAGUUGAAGAAACACCCAUACCCCUGAAGGAUGUCAUACUAAUUUCUUAUGAGAUCAUCCACAAAAAGGAUCCUGGUGCUGUUGCUCGAAUUAAGCAAAAGGAAGUCUAUGAACAACAGAAGAAACUUCUUUUAAUUGGGGAGCGUGCUGUGCUUGUAACACUUGAUUUUGACUUCAAUGUGCAUCACCCAUACAAGCCCUUGGUUGAAGCAAUAAAAAAACUCAAGAUUGCUCAAAAGGAACUUGCUCAAGUUGCCUGGAGUUUUGUCAAUGAUGGGCUGUGUACAUCUCUUUGCCUGCAAUUUAAGCCCCAACAUAUUGCGGCCGGCGCAAUCUUCCUUGCUGCAAAGUUCCUUAAAGUCAAGCUUCCAGCAGAUGGUGAGAAGGUCUGGUGGCAAGAUUUUGAUGUAACCCCGUGGCAGUUGGAAGAGGUUAGCAACCAAAUGAUGGAGCUCUAUGGGCCACCACCGUCUCAAGGGAAUGAUACUAAAAGCAGCUCUGCAGGUUUAGCCAAUCAACAUGCCCUGGAGAAAGCUCCUGGAGCUGCUGAGGAGCCUCCUGCGCAUAAAAAUCAUUCAGCAUCCAGACAACCGAGCUUGCCAGACUGCCAUGGGCAUAGCCAGCAUAACCCUGAAAGGCAAGGCUCAAACCAGAGGAUAGCACAAACCGAAGAGAGGGAUGGCACUGCCACUAGCAAUGAAGGCCUCAAUACGUCGCCAUCAGCGAUGGAUGCAGUGGAAAAGAUAAACAAGGAUCAUCAGAACGUCGCUCACACGGCAGAGGACACCGAGGAGGGCGGGCUGUGCCAUUCUCUCGAGCCCGGCAAUCCAAAGCGGAAGGAGCACAGGAGCCACGAUCACAGCGGCGAGAGGGACCUUAAGAGGUUGAGGUCAUAAAAGGAAGUAUUCAUAACCACCCUGGGUAGAAUGAUCGGCAGAGUGGCAUUGGGCUAAUGCAACAACCAGGGUGAAAACCUAUUUGUUUUUUCUCUGUUGCAGGAGCUGCUAUCUCGGUCCUUGCUGGUCAUGUCGGGAGUUUUGAACCGUGAUUCGAGAAUAUGGUUUCCUAUACAGACACAGUGCGUGCAUGUUCGUGUGUUGAUGUGGAAACGUUGGGCGGCUGGUCCGUGAUGCGAGAAUUAUGCAGGCCUGAGAAACAUUAGUCAUACACAAUAGUGUGUUGUGCAGGUUCGAUGC
RNAcentral lists this ribosomal RNA (1820 nucleotides) under Triticum aestivum (bread wheat). Its description in RNAcentral is "partial small subunit ribosomal RNA". Lineage: Eukaryota; Viridiplantae; Streptophyta; Magnoliopsida; Poales; Poaceae. The record is from RNAcentral.